GAACCCCUCGCCCUCGCUUCGUCACUGUCGCGAGUCGCGGAUUUGGACGCUGCCGUCGUUGGCUCGUCUUGAAAUGCAUUAGCUGCAAAGCUUCGGCCGGCUGUCGGUGUGAUAGUGAUAUCUGCGCCUGAUGCUCGUUUGUCGCUGCGGCUCACAAUCGCCCUCGGGCAACUUCACUUAACG
Molecule: unclassified non-coding RNA, 183 nt
Filed under: uncultured Agaricomycetes
Lineage: Eukaryota; Fungi; Basidiomycota; Agaricomycetes
Description: sequence contains ITS2
Source: RNAcentral